This 458-nucleotide ribosomal RNA is filed under the name uncultured bacterium. RNAcentral's name for it is "bacterial SSU rRNA". It matches the Rfam family "Bacterial small subunit ribosomal RNA", at positions 15 to 509 of the family's 1533-position model. The record is from RNAcentral.
GAUCAUGGCUCAGAAUCAACGCUGGCGGCGCGCUUAACACAUGCAAGUCGAACGAGAAAGGGGAGCAAUCCCUGAGUACAGUGGCGUCCGGGUGAGUAACACGUGGGUAAUCUGCCCUCUGGUGGGGAAUAACCCUGGGAAACCGGGGCUAAUACCGCAUAAGUCCGCAAGGAGAAAGUCGCAAGACGCCGGAGGAGGAGCCCGCGGCCGAUUAGCUUGUUGGUGGGGUAAUGGCUCACCAAGGCCAAGAUCGGUAGCCGGCCUGAGAGGGCACACGGCCACACUGGCACUGAAAUACGGGCCAGACUCCUACGGGAGGCAGCAGUGGGGAAUCUUGCACAAUGGGGGAAACCCUGAUGCAGCGACGCCGCGUGAGCGAUGAAGCCUUCGGGGUGUAAAGCCUUCGGCAGGAACGAUUAUACGGUACCUGCAAAAAAAGUGCGGCUAACUAAAAUUCC